AAGAAGGCCUUCGGGUUGUAAAGGCAACUUUUUGGUACCGGGAAAACGUAAAAACGUUCUAGCCCUUAAUACGGUGGGAGGAUGACGGUACCGGAAGAAUAAGCACCGGCUAACUACGUGC
RNAcentral lists this ribosomal RNA (121 nucleotides) under uncultured bacterium. RNAcentral's name for it is "partial 16S ribosomal RNA". The record is from RNAcentral.